This 252-nucleotide ribosomal RNA is filed under the name uncultured prokaryote. RNAcentral's name for it is "partial 16S ribosomal RNA". It matches the Rfam family "Bacterial small subunit ribosomal RNA", at positions 525 to 775 of the family's 1533-position model. The record is from RNAcentral.
ACGUAGGAGGCAAGCGUUAUCCGGAGUUACUGGGCGUAAAGGGCGUGCAGGCGGUUGGCUAUGUUCGUUGUGAAAGCGCCCAGGCUUAACCGGGCGAGGACAAUGAAGACUGGUCAGCUAGAGGAUGGAACAGGAGCGUAGAAUUCCCGGUGUAGUGGUGGAAUGCGUAGAUAUCGGGAGGAAUACCGGUGGCGAAGGCGACGCUCUGGUCCAGCCCUGACACUGAGGCGCGAAAGCGUGGGGAGCAAACGG